GGUCCUGUGGCCCAAUGGAUAAGGCGCCUGACUACGAUUCAGGAGAUUCCAGGUUCGAGUCCUGGCAGGAUCG
Non-coding RNA from Ciona savignyi (Pacific transparent sea squirt), 73 nucleotides. The record is from Rfam. NCBI's taxonomy places the organism in Eukaryota, Metazoa, Chordata, Ascidiacea, Phlebobranchia, Cionidae.